GCCGGAGUGGUGGAACAGGCAGACACGCAGGGUUUAGGUCCCUGUGCCCCUCGGGGCGUGGGGGUUCGACUCCCCCCUUCGGCA
This 84-nucleotide transfer RNA is filed under the name Actinomycetota bacterium. RNAcentral's name for it is "tRNA-Leu". It matches the Rfam family "tRNA". Rfam says of the family: Transfer RNA (tRNA) molecules are approximately 80 nucleotides in length. Their secondary structure includes four short double-helical elements and three loops (D, anti-codon, and T loops). Lineage: Bacteria; Bacillati; Actinomycetota. The record is from RNAcentral.